This 253-nucleotide ribosomal RNA is filed under the name uncultured bacterium. Its description in RNAcentral is "partial 16S ribosomal RNA". It matches the Rfam family "Bacterial small subunit ribosomal RNA", at positions 524 to 776 of the family's 1533-position model. The record is from RNAcentral.
UACGAAGGUGGCAAGCGUUACUCGGAAUUACUAGGCGUAAAGGGCAGGUAGGUGGUUUUGUAAGUCUGUUGUGAAAGCUCCUGGCUUAACUGGGAGAGGUCAACGGAUACUGCAGAACUUGAGUAUAGGAGAGGUUACUGGAAUUCCCGGUGUAGCGGUGAAAUGCGCAGAGAUCGGGAGGAACACCAAUGGCGAAAGCAGGUAACUGGACUAUUACUGACACUCAGCUGCGAAAGCUAGGGGAGCAAACAGG